Molecule: small RNA, 102 nt
Filed under: Arabidopsis thaliana (thale cress)
Lineage: Eukaryota; Viridiplantae; Streptophyta; Magnoliopsida; Brassicales; Brassicaceae
Description: ATSL292850
Source: RNAcentral
UUUAAAAAAUUAUUAUCUUAUUAAUUUAUCGAUUUGUGUCACUUUUUACACUGGUCCCAAUUCGGGACCAGAAGAAUUUAUUAAUUUAUAAAAGUUAUUAAU